Molecule: long non-coding RNA, 19464 nt
Filed under: Brassica napus (rape)
Lineage: Eukaryota; Viridiplantae; Streptophyta; Magnoliopsida; Brassicales; Brassicaceae
Description: long non-coding RNA (BNAP_LNC016469)
Source: RNAcentral
UUUCUCUCUCUCACUUUAAUAUAUGUUUCAUCCGUUUGUUGUUUAAAGUUUUUGCAGACAAAUAUUUUUUUAAAAAUUCUUAUUUGAAACGGCAUUUAAUAUGAAACUAUGGAAGGUAUCAUAAUAUCGUUAUUAAUAUGGUUCUAUUUAUAUCAUAAAUAAUUAGAAAUACCUUGUUUUGUGUGGCUUUAGGGACUUUGUUCAGGCAUAAGUGUCACACUUGUGGGGAUGCAUUGCCUUUACACUCUAUGGGAAUUUGUGAGCCUUGGUUUUUCGGUACAUUCAUGGUAUACCUCCCAGUCAUUUUGGAGGAUAAAAGCUACUUGUAUUUGGUUAUUUAGUAUCACUGAUAUCAUAUUCAAGCUUCUUGGAGUUUCGAAAACCGUGUUCAUUGUUACAAAAAAGACUUUCAACGAGACAAGGUCAGGGACUGGGGAUGGACCAUCUUGUAGUGCGGACCCAAAUGCUGGUAAAUUUGAAUUUGACGACUCAGUUUAUUUUUUGCCUGGCACGUUCAUUGUGUUGGUCAAUCUAGCCGCUAUAGCCGGGUUUUUAGUGGGUCUACAACCAGUAAGUCAUAUCUACGGAGGAGGUGGUUCGACUUUUGUAGAGGCUUGUGCAUGUAUUUUGGUGGUUAUGUUGUUUCUUCCAUUUCUAAAGGGUUUAUUUGAGAAGGGAAAAUAUGGUAUUCCAUUGUCUACGCUCUCUAAAGCUGCAUUUUUAGCAGUGUUAUUUGUUGUAUUUUCUGUAGGAAAGUAGUUUAUAUAGCGAUGUGGGUUUUUUAUGCAACAAAACUAAGUUUAUCAUGACAUUGUACCAAUGAAUAAUUAAUGAUAUUUUAUGAAAUUAGUUUUUAUUUAUUAAAGUCAUAAAAUAAUAGUUCCACCAAAUUGAAGAAAAAGGGUUCCUUGACGUGACCAUGCGCAUGCUUGAGAUGAAUUUGAACCACCACGCUAGCACUGGCGCAUUUCAAUGACUUUUUUUUUUUUUUGGUAAAAAUGUUAAGAGCAUUUCAAUGACUUAGCGGUAAAGACCUCGGAAUUGAUCAGUACACCAGUUUUCAUUAUUUAUAAGUUUAUUAUUAUUUUUGCAGUGCUAACUAUGUAAGCGUACAUAAUACAUUAUCACAUUACGGAACGUUAACAUCUCCAAACCAUCUACGUUUUCUUAGAAGUCAAACACCUCACGUGCCAUUUUCGCCUCGGACAUGAAGAUAUAUACAUAAGUAUUUGGCUAAAUAUUAUAAUACUAAUAUUAGAUUCAUGUUCCUGAAUUUCAUAUCAAUGAUAUAAUAUUCUCAUACGCAAAAACAAAUCAUCUCACAUAGCUUGAUUUUGUUUUAUGUUAAUAUACGUCAUUUAUUGCUUAAUUACGGUCCACGUAUAAAAUAAUCAUGUUGAUGACCAUAAUACACUACUUUGACAGGACAAUAGUAGCAUUAAUUAAUAGUAGUAUAUAUAGACGUGACGUAGGUAACUAUUCGGAACAUAUACGCAAAAAAAAAAAACUUGACAAAGCUUCUUCUCCCAUGGCGGAUUCAAGCUCUUCACUUCCUCCUCUUUGCGAAAGGAUCUCACGAUUCUCGGACUUCCCUUUUCUCCUCUCUUGUACCGGAUUCAACGUAUGAACCAAAACGACUUAAAAAUAAUUAUUUAUUCAAAAAAUAUUAAAGAAUGGCUAUGUUUUUAAAAAUUAUAUGGUAUUAUUUGCUCAUAACUCAUUUGUCAUUUGAUAAAUUGUUAGAAAGAAAAUUACAUAAUAUAAUUAAACUUCCUAUUUUAUUGUUUGUCUUUUUCAGUUACAUUAAUGAAAUAUCCUUAAAUAAAUUUGGACAUAAUGUCUUUUGAUCAACCAAAAAAAUGAGUUAUCCUUACGUGCAUAAUUUUAAUAAUAGAGAUUUUUAAAAACAUGCAUCAUUAAAAUGUUACCUAAAACAUGCAGCACUAAUAUAUAACAUGCAUCAAUAAAACUAGAAUUUGACUCACACAAUUGUACGGAUAUUAUUUUCAGUUGAUUAAAUUUAAAAAUAAUUAUUUAUUCAAAAAAUAUUUAAGAAUGACUAUGUUUUUAAAAAUUAUAUGGUAUUAUUUGCUCAUAACUCAUUUGUCAUUUGAUAAAUUGUUAGAAAGAAAAUUUUAGCAUAAUAUAACUCAGUUGUCAUUUGCUAAAUUUAUGGUUUUUAUUUAUAUUUUUUAUUAUUUAAUUAUAAUAUUUUCAUUUUAUAUUUGAAAGAUAAAUGAAUUUUCUUUCAAACAAUAUUUUUGUAAAUGUAUUUUUUAAAAAAUAAUCAAUUAAAUUGUUAUUAUCAUUGAAUAUCAUUAUUUUUGACAUAAUUUGAGUUUUCGUUUACAUCAAAACUUAUCAUAUUUUAAGAUAAUUUUAAUUUAAAAUGUAAUUUUCAUAUUUUUCAAACAAAUUCUAAUUUUUUUUUUUAAAUAUUUUGUUAUAAUUGUUAAAACAAUAUUGAGUUGCAUUUCAAAUAAAAAGGUAAAGAUAUUAAAAAUAUUCUAGUUAAAAUAUGUAAAAUUUAAUAUAGUUAUAAGGAAAUGGUCAAAAUAAAAAAAAUUACACAUAAAAUAAUCAUGAUUUUUGUUAACUGGGCGGAUCAUUAUUUAUAUGAUAUCGCACACGAAAGAAAAAUUUCUGUUUUUAAAAUUAUCUAAUUAACUCUAUACUCAUUUUUUUAUAUUUUUUAUAUGAUAUCACACAUUCGUAAAAAAAUCGAUAGUUUAAGAUGCAAAAAAAAAAUAUUUACUUCAUGAAUAUAAUAUGAAUGAAUAUUACAAAUACAUCAUUUGAUAAAAUAAAUAAUUAAAAACUGAAAAUUCAUUAGGGUCUAGUAUACAUUAAAAUUAAGAUUCUUUUUAAUUUUAUGUAUAGUUCUAGCUAGCUGGUACACCACGCUCUUUUCGGUUGUGAAGUUAACAUUCCAAAAAAAUUAUGAAUUUGCAUCGUAAUUAUCAUUUCAGAGUUCAUGACUUCCCGUCAAAGAGCCGCCGAUUCUUGUGGUGAACACCCUGCUUUCUCUGCUAGCUGUGAAUAAUCCGGCGAAUAAACUAGCAUGUUAUGUUUCAGACGAUGGAUGCGUAGAGCCACAUACCUAAACGAUAUAAUAAAAGCGAAGUUAAGGAAAUAGACGAAUGUAAAAAAAGAAUACAAGAACGAUAAGAAAUCGUAUUCGCAAACAGACAUGGAGUCGAGAUAUGAUCUCUUUCCUUAUCUUAAAAUAUUUGCUCCGUUAGUGAGACGGGACUAUACGAAUAUAGAGUCCCAUGAUACAACCAUGGCAGACGAACCACACUUCUGAUCGCCCUAUCGAACUAUAAACUCUAUGAAACACUCUCGUAUUUAUGACUUACACAAAGGGAUUUUUUGCUGUUGGUUUCGAUGUAAAAAGCAGUGAAAAAUGAAGAGGAGGAGAGUUCAUAUUUAAAGAGGAGACGUGGAGCGGUUUUUCGAAACUGUUGCAAACGUUUUUCUAAAAUCUCUCAAAGAUCUUAGAGUGGAUCGUUGAGCAGCUUUUUCCGCAAGUUUCUCUCUUGUUGACUCGUUCUGAUCCAUUUCGAACAGAUAAACUUUGUGUCGUUUUUAUACGAACUACAUGUCGUUUACACACAAAUGUCAUGCUCUGGCAAAACAUUGAGCUUAAGUUGGUCCACCAAAACCAAGACCCACGCCCACGCCGAGCCGAGCCAGAAGGCGGCAGCGCGCGUGGGAAACUCUGUCUUCCUCUGAGCCGUUUAAUCCAAGAAGAGUGUGAUACCAUGUAUACAUCACAACAUCUCAUGUUUUAACCGAUGUGGGACUCUCUUAUUUCUUUUCAUUAAAGCCAACAAAACUUUUACUAAGAGCCCGUAAGCCCAUUUCGUUUUCACAUUUGCCUUUCAUUAUUUGAGCCAAUAUGCUUAAUAAUUAGGCCCAACAGGAUGCUCACCUCUCACAUACUUUUCUCUCAAGGAAGCUUCUAAGUUCGCCAAGAUUUGGGUUCCUUUCUGCAAGAAAUACAAAGUUAGAGUUAGAGCUCCUUUUAGAUAUUUCUUGAACCCUCUGCCCUCUUCAAGGGAUUCUGAAUUCACUAAAGAUUGGGAACUGAUGAAGGUAAUGAGUUCAAUUGUUAUUUUAUAUCAUUUUGCGUUUUUUUGUUUACGUUAGCAAAUUGAAUUAUUUUAGUUGUUUUCAGAUGCAUUAAAUUUAAAUAUUGAAAAAAAUUAAAACUUAUUAAGAAUUAAUUGGAAACUAGGUGGUUGCCCGCGAAUUCGCGUAUAUAAAUAUUUUACGAAAAUUAUAUAUUAUGUUUAUAAUUUUAUAAUUUUAAAAAAUAAUCAUAACUAUUAAAAACAACCUUUUUAUUUUAAAUAAUUUUAAAUAAUUUGAAAAUCAAAAAUCUUGGUAUUGUAUAAUCUUAAAAGAUUAUUGAGAUAUAUUGUUAAUUCUAUAAAUUUUAUUAUAAGUCUCCAAAAAGUCUUUUUAUGACAUGAUUUUUGAUUAGUAAAAAAAACCAAAGAUUAAUGAACAAAAAGUUUUUUUUAUAACAAUUUCUAUUUUUGCAUUAUUUUGUUUACCAAUUUAUAUUAUUUAGAAGUAAAAUAGUUACAAGUAAUUAAUCAAUUUAACAUUUAUAGUAAUACGUAAAAUACAUGUAUUUCGGUUAACAUAUAAAAAAUUAAGUAUGUAAAAGUAUAAAAUAACAAAGAAUACAACCAAGAAUACAACAAGCAAGUUUUAUUAUUCUUCAUUGAUGUUUCCUAUUACAAAAUAAGCAUGUCAAUUUUAUUAUAAUCAAAAUUAUAUCAAUAGAGUCUUAACUCUAGUCAUGUAUUAAUAUAUUGCUCUUAUUUUUUUAAUUUAUAUUAUAAUAAACUUUUUCAUUGAUUAAUAUUAUUUUAAAUAAUUUACCAUAUAAUUUUAUUAUAAUCAAGGAUAUAAGAAUUAUAUUAAUAGAGUAUAUUAAUUUUAGUCUCGUAUUAAUAGAGUAUAUUAAUUUUAGCCUCGUAUUAGUAUAAUAUUAAAAGACUUACUAUAUAUUUUACUGUUUUUAAAUAUAAAAAUACUUUAAUUAUUUCUGAAAGUAAUAACUCAACUAUACAAUCAACAUUUGUCACUCAAAAAUGACUAACUGUUUUUAAAAUUGUAUAUUUAACUUUUUUGCACUCAUUGGAUACAUUUUAAAAUUAUAUAUUUGAUUGUUUUGCAUUCAUUGGAUACUAUCCAACUGGUUUAACUGCCGCGUAAACGUGUCUGCAUUUUAGAACCUUGGUGAUAUGUUUAGAGAUGGUGGUUAUUGGUCAUAUAUUAUAAGUUUCUUUUCCAAUAAAAAAUAUUUAAAAGCAACAUGUGCAUAAUUCCAUAUUUUCUGAGACUAGAAAUCCAGAUCUCCUGGUAUAGAAUCAUUAAUGAACCAUUAGUCAAACUACUGGACCAAAUAGACUUCCACAGAAAAUAAUAGAUUAUUCCCAAGUAAUUGAAUCUAGAGUUUUUUGUUUGUUUGUUAAAAAGGCUAUGAUUGAAUCCAGUUGGUCAGGUGAAAAAAUAAGACUCCAUCACAUAUGUUUUCCAGAAAAAGAAGGCAAUGCAAGGAAGUAAUGACUUGUUUUUUUCUUAUAAUAUUGUCACAUCCCAAUUUUUCUUAAACCAAGAUGAAUUUUUAUUAUUAUUAUUAACUUAAUUUGGCCCAAAGCUCAUUAACCCUUAUUUUUUUCUGUUCCGCAUAAUAAGCCCUAGAGUUUUUAAAUUCUUAUCUUAUAAAUAGAAGGCGGCCUUUUCUUUGUCUCCCAUCAUAAACCUAGAGCGAAGCUCUGCAAAGUUUCAGAGAAAUCUGAAAACCUUAGCCGUCAAGAUUUUUCUUUCUUCUCUUCUCUCUCUUUCUCUCUUGGCCAUACUUUCUCUCUUGGCCAUACUCUCUCUCACUUGCGUCUCUCUCUCUCUCACUUGCGUCUCUCUCUCUCUCUCUCUCUCUCUCUCUCUCUCUCUCUCUCUCUCUCUCUCUUUGUUUUCCGUUUGUGCAUGCCGGAGCCAAGCCAUCGAAGAUCCCUAACAAACCUAGAUGUAUUUAGAUCUCUUCUUGUCUUCUUUCUACAUCUUGUCACAGGUGAGAUAAGAAACCCUAAUUCUUGUUUAAUCCAUCUCAUUUUCUCUUUUAUAUUAGAUAUUUCAUCUUAGGUCGCUUGGUGGUAACACUGAUCUUUUCUCUUGUAAAUCAGGUUCAGUGAAAGCCUUCUGUUAUAGAUCUGCUUCUCCCCUCCAUUAUGUUCGCAUAUCUAAUGCCAAUGUAAGACCUGAUGUGAUCUUUCUUCCCUCUUACAUUAUUGCUUCAUAGUGGGAUUUACUAUUUAAAUCAUUCAUACAUGCGUGUUAACUAUGAGCAUACACAUAUUUGUUUGAUAAGUGAACUAUAUCGUAUAUAUAUAUAUACACCUAUUGUAUUGUAGUGCGUGAAUACCUAGAUCUACUCAUAUAUUGCUAAAAUGAAUAUGAUUGUAUGAUAAUUGAAACUUGUAUGAGGAUGUUUGCAUUGCGUGGGGAUUAAGCAUGUGUAGUUAGUGUAUAUGAGAUAGGAGAGGUCUAAAGGCCUAUGAGUGUCGGUGCAACGUGAUUGAGAGUUCUUGGGCGUUGCAUCGUUUUUUGAUGGGUAAUACGGAGACCGAAUGAGGUAGCAUGAUUCAUCGCCGAAGCAGGUAGACAGUCUGCUCGGAUCAUGCGGGAACCGAACAAGGUGACGUGACCGUGUAAACACAGUGGCGGAUUAAGCAUGAACCAAUGUGGUAACUUGAUUGCGUGAUGGUGUUGAACUCACGGGCACAGAUUUAGGUGGUGAGCUCUCAAGCGACAACAUGAAGAACGCAUGGACCGAAUGAGGUGGCUUGAUCUCAUAUUGGCACCGUCAGAGUUUAUCCUCAUUACUUGUUAUUUGAUCUUGUUUUACUGGAUGUUCUAGGCAGAUCUUUUAUUAUGUUGAGGUAAGAAACCCUAGUUCUUGUUUAAUCCAUCUCAUUUUUCUCCUUUAUAUUAUAUAUUUCAUCCUAGGUCGCUUGGUGGUAGCACCGAUCCUGUCAUGUCCCCGAUCCUAGAUAGGAUCGUCCAGACGGACCAUGGUGCGAGGAGACGCACCAGUCAGGUCGUAAGACCUUGAGAUAAGCGUACUAUGGCACAAAAUGAAGGUUAAGGGCAUCAGGAAGCUGAAACUUAACCAGAAUAUGAGGGAAACAUGUAAUAAGGAACUGGAUGAGUGAACCGGAAGCUGUAUGAGGUCCGGAUCAAGCUCAGCUAGCUAGGUGCAGCUGUAAACUAGUUCACCAUGACUUAAUCAGCUCACAUGAGCUGGAAUACUAGCUGAUGCGCCUCGGAUCAUAGACCCGGGCCAGGAUGAUGCGACCAUGGCUGAGCCAGAUGAUUCUUCAACAAAAGACAAACCAGGAUGGAUUAAUGGUGAGGAUAUUGAUCUAAAACCAGCUGAUGAGACUGAGGACGAGCUGGAACCAGCUGAAGAGAGUAUGCUUGAGCUGAAACCAGCUGAAGUGAUAGUAGAUGAGCUAGAUGAGCUGAGUGAGCUAAGUGAUACUAGCUUGGAGCUGAAUGAGCUAAGUGACACUGAAGAUGGAGCUGGUUUAGUUGCUGGGCGAAAUAAGCAUUUUUCAGCCCAAAGAAAAAUUCAUAACAAAUUCAAUUUGGGUCGGUUUUACACCAAAUUCUACCAGACCUUUCCUCAGUCCAUUUCAAGCCCAUUCUCAUCAAGAAUGCCAAGAGGGAGUCAGCAAGGAAGUCUUGGUCGUGCAUGGGAAAAAGAAUUCAACAAAAAUCAUUAAUUUCGGUCUUUAGUCAAAGUCUUCAUUUCUAGUUUCCAUGUCUUGUUUUUAGCACAUUCUUCUUUGGAUUUCUACAACUUGUAAUCCUAUAUAUAGGGCCUAAGAGCCACGAAAUAAGAUAAGCUUUUUCCCCUUUUAUUUGAGUUUAUCUAUUUGUUCUUUGUAGAACACUUCUUUGUUUCUUGGUGAGGUUAUCUCCGAGUAAACAGCCUCUAAUUCGUUGGACCUGUGCGUCAUAUCAGGCAACGUUUAGAAAUCCUUCUUUUGGUGGACUUGUGAGUCAUAUCAAGCACCAACUGAAGUCUGGUAGUAUCAUUGGGCCAUCCGCAACCCAUUGUGUCACCGUUCAAUCCAUCAGUUCUCCUUUUUGGCGAGUUCAUAUCCCUUUAGUCCGGUCGAGUGAUCCUUCCCUAUUUUAGGGCGUAUCAAGUGGUAUCAGAGCCACUCAACCGGUACUAUCUAUCCAUCUUUCUCAUCUUUCAUUUCUAAACACUUCUUCUUCAUCUUUCUAUCUCAAAUCCGGGCCACUACCUUACCUAUCGCCAUUCUUCUAUAAAAAAAUAAAAAGAGAAAAGAAAAGAAAAAAAAAAGAUCUAUCAAAAAAAAAGAGAAAAGAAAAAAAAAAGUUUGAUUUAUUUGGCUAGGUGGUGGAAGAGAAAUCCUGCUGGCUGAGGAGAAAUCCAGCCUUGGAGUGGUUAAUACGGAUUUCAAAACCAAUUCUCUUUAUCUUUCUAUCUUGUGUUCAUCUCUUGCUUGCUUGGAGAAAUCCAUUGGGUUAUUUGAUUUGUUCUCUUAGAACUUUGAGAGGAGACUCUUGAGUGACCAUAAAAUCUGAGAGAAACACUUGUGUGGGUGAGAUCAAACACUUGAGAGUGUGAGGAUUAUUUUUAUCUGUUAACCUUUUGUGUUGAGAACUUUCAGGUUAAGAUGUUUGAAGCUGAUCAAAGAAGGCUUUUCAGUCAGUUUGAAGUCUGGGAGUUUUGUGACAACCUUGUGGAGGGUGUGGUGAAAGCCCUCAAGGACGUCAGCAAGAUCCAAAAGAAGAGCACAACCACACGUGCAUCUGUAGCUAAGCCUUCCUUAUUCAUCAAUGAAAAACCCAAAGGUAAAUCUGAAAACAACCUUGAAGAUCAAAAAGAUUUUUCAGAUUCUUUACCAAUUUUUGAUGAGUAUGAUGAAGAGAUGAUUGAAAGUUUGAUCAUUUGUGAGGAUGAAUGUGAUCUUCCAUCUCCAAAAUCUGAUUUUAUGUUUGAUGAUGAAGAGACUAAUGGACUAACCUGUUUUGAACCGGAGCAUCCGAGUAGUCUUGUUCUAUUUUCACAGGAUUUUAAGGAAGAACCAUUCGACUACUCACAUCAAGGACUGCUUCUUGGCACCAGGAGACCCAUGGACGAUGAUCUAGGUCCCAUAUUUGAUGAGGAAGGCGAACCUGGUCCAACCUUUGAAGCGGAAGCACCAAGCAUAACAUCCAUCAUCAUGGAGAACCAACUUUGCUUUGAUCCCGGCACAACUCCUACGCCUUUGACCACAUACAUUCAAGAGCACUGUGAGAAACUUGAUUUGAUUAAUUUUCUGCCUGAUCUGUUUGAUAAAGUCAGUUCCAAUGACAUAAAACUUUCUGGUCUUGAUCAUCUUGAAAAGUCAUCUGAGCUUGAUUUGCAACAACUAGUUUUCUGCUCUAGAAAAUCGUUUGAUUCAUUUGUCUUCAAAGAAAAUAGCUUUAGUCUGAGAUCUUAUGGACAUGAACUGAUCACUGGAAUUUUGUUUGCAUCCUCAUAUGCUUUGGAAGAUUUUAUGGUUAGCACAUUGCUGGAACAGAAUUCACAUAAAGCUGAAACAGAUUUUUGUGGUGAUUCUGUUUUGAAACCUGUCCAUUCUUAUUCUGAAUCUGAUCUUGAACUAAAACUUUUGUGUUCUGAAUCUGAUCAAGUUAGGCACGUUUUGGAAAUGUUCUAUGGUAGUUCAUGCCUCGAAAACAUUCUGAUUUACAACACCUUCUUUGAUAAACAUGCUGAGCCUUGGAUAAGAAAUUCCCAAUUUGAACUUAAUCUUUUGUGUUCUAAAUCUUAGAAACUUGCGCAUGAUUUGAAUUUGUUCUUUAGGAACUGUGCUAUCACGUGCCCUGACACCAUUCUGGUGUACAAGACUUACUUUGAUAGGCUUCAUGAUGAUCUGAAACGUGUGCUACAUGUUCUAGGGAAAGAAAAUUUGGUUUAUGAUCUGAACAAGUACUUGUCUUGUACAUAUGAUCCUGGUAUUUUAAUGUUUGUUUUGAGUGUCCAGGAUAAACAGGAUCAGUCUCCAAGAGGUGUCAGGAACAGAAGCAGAGAUCGUGCUUAUCAGUUUAAGACUUGGAGAUGCAUGUACUCGAGGAAACCAACUUCAAAACUCCAAGGAAGUUUCUUUCCAAAAUUUUCCUUCACUAAAUUUUACAUGAUUUUUAAAUUCUUUUUGUCUGAUUCAUUUCCUUUUGAUACAGGUAAAAUGGAUUUGAGGUCAAAUCCUUUUCAAGAGGGAGGGAAUGAUGCGCCUCGGAUCAUAGACCCGGGCCAGGAUGAUGCGACCAUGGCUGAGCCAGAUGAUUCUUCAACAAAAGACAAACCAGGAUGGAUUAAUGGUGAGGAUACUGAUCUAAAACCAGCUGAUGAGACUGAGGACGAGCUGGAACCAGCUGAAGAGAGUAUGCUUGAGCUGAAACCAGCUGAAGUGAUAGUAGAUGAGCUAGAUGAGCUGAGUGAGCUAAGUGAUACUAGCUUGGAGCUGAAUGAGCUAAGUGACACUGAAGAUGGAGCUGGUUUAGUUGCUGGGCGAAAUGAGCAUUUUUCAGCCCAAAGAAAAAUUCAUAACAAAUUCAAUUUGGGUCGGUUUUACACCAAAUUCGACCAGACCUUUCCUCAGUCCAUUUCAAGCCCAUUCUCAUCAAGAAUGCCAAGAGGGAGUCAGCAAGGAAGUCUUGGUCGUGCAUGGGAAAAAGAAUUCAACAAAAAUCAUUAAUUUCGGUCUUUAGUCAAAGUCUUCAUUUCUAGUUUCCAUGUCUUGUUUUUAGCACAUUCUUCUUUGGAUUUCUACAACUUGUAAUCCUAUAUAUAGGGCCUAAGAGCCACGAAAUAAGAUAAGCUUUUUCCCCUUUUAUUUGAGUUUAUCUAUUUGUUCUUUGUAGAACACUUCUUUGUUUCUUGGUGAGGUUAUCUCCGAGUAAACAGCCUCUAAUUCGUUGGACCUGUGCGUCAUAUCAGGCAACGUUUAGAAAUCCUUCUUUUGGUGGACUUGUGAGUCAUAUCAAGCACCAACUGAAGUCUGGUAGUAUCAUUGGGCCAUCCGCAACCCAUUGUGUCACCGUUCAAUCCAUCAGUUCUCCCUUUUGGCGAGUUCAUAUCCCUUUAGUCCGGUCGAGUGAUCCUUCCCUAUUUUAGGGCGUAUCACUAGCUCACUCAGCUGGGAACAGUUGGUGGUCCGCUCAUCUCAGCUGGGAGGAGUGUUCCGGUCCGAACCAGUGUGGUCGGGUCCGAGAGGUUACGGCCGAGCCGGUGGUCCAUGUAUAUUUACCUCUUUAAUGAAACAUUUUGGUCAUUUUGCUCUUUGUGGUCUAUUUUUGUGACCAAAACUUUUUUAGUGAUAUCCUAGGGUAUUUCUCUUAACUAUAAGCAUACACAUAUUUGUUUGAUAAGUGAACUAUAUCGUAUAUAUAUAUAUAUACACCUAUUGUAUUGUAGUGUGUGAAUACCUAGAUCUACUCAUAGAUUGCUAAAACGAAUAUGAUUGUAUGAUAAUUGAAACUUGUAUGCGGAUGUUUGCAUUGCGUGGGGAUUAAGCAUGUGUGGUUAGUGUAUAUGAGAUAGGAGAGGUCUAAAGCCCUACGGUGAAACGUGAUGGAGAGUUUUUGGCCGUUGCAUUGUUUUUUGAUGGGUAAUGCAGAGACCAAAUGAGGUAGCAUGAUUCAUCGCCGAAGCAGGUAGACGGCCUGCUCGGAUCAUUUGGGAACCAAACAAGUUGACGUGAUCGUGUAAACACAGUGGCGGAUCAAGCGUGAACCAGUGUGGUAACUUGAUUGUGUGAUGGUGUUGAACUCACGGGUACAGAUUUAGGUGGUGAGCUCUCAAGCGACAACAUGAAGAACACAUGGACCGAAUGGGGUGGCGUGAUCUCAUAUUGACACCGUCAGAGUUUAUCCUCGUUACUUGUUAUUUGAUCUUGAUUUACUGGAUGUUCUAGGCAGAUCUUUUGUUAUGUUGUGCGGUGAAUGUUGAGUGAUGAUUUCGGGGCUACAAAAACUUUUUUCACUAAGCUUUUGUGGAAAUGUUUAUCCCUCAUUAUUCUUUUUUUUUUUUUGCAGGUUGGUGGGUUUUUGUUUAAGGCAUUCUAAACGUUGAAAGACAUAUUGUUUUACUCCUUAGGAUAAAGACAAGUGACUUGAUAUCACCCAGCUGUGUUGGGUUGGGAUGUUACAAAUAUUCAGUUGAUUUCUCUUUUAUUUAAUAAUGAUAAUGAAGAACCAUUACGUGAUAUCUCUUUCCUCUUCGACGACCACUCAUCCAUCACUAAAAACACACAAGAGCAAACGGAAUAAAAAGACAACUCUAUCGUCAUCCUAAAUCGAAUCAGACCACAAAAAAAACCACCUCAAAUACCCAAAGAUACACACAUCAUUGAGAAUAUAACUGUAUUAGUAUACGGUUAAAAAAAGUAUACGGUUUAAUAACCAGUUUAUACAUUUUAUUUAAUCAUUGUAUCUAAAGGAUAAAGUAUUCCAUUUUUGUUUGAUUGUGGCUACAAUUUCUCUUUGUCACUCUUUUAUUGUUAACAAAAGGUCUACUCAAUAUAACCUCUUCUCACCACUCCUUUUUAUUAUAAUAUAUAUACUCCUUUUCAGAACACUCUACAGUAUACACACUAUGACUAUAUGAGUACAAGCAUUCGUAGACGUAAAACUACUUAGAAAGCUCACAAGAAAGCUCCUCCCAUGGCGGAUUCUAGCUCUUCUCUCCCUUCUCUUUUCGAAAAGAUCUCAUACAGAAGAUAUUUUCUGAGAGCUGUGGAUCUCAUGAUGCUCGGGCUUCUCUUAUCUCUUCUCUUGUACCGGAUUCUACAUAUGAGCGAAAACGAUAACGUUUGGGUCGUAGCUUUCCUGUGUGAAUCUUUUUUCACUGUCAUAUGGCUGCUUGUUACUUGCAUAAAAUGGACCCCUGCCGAGUAUAAACCAUAUCCAGAUCGACUUGAUGAAAGGUAUCAUGGAAUAUAUAUGCACACAUAGCAUAUAUGCUUAUUCAUUUUUGUAUAAAGAUCUAGGCUUCUGGUAGCUGCUACCAUAUUCUAAUUAAUUCUAUUUUUAUAUUAUGCAGUAAUCAUUUUGAAUUUUUCUUUAUGAACUAACUAGUACUGUUUCAGGGUUCAUGACCUUCCAUCGGUAGAUAUGUUUGUAACCACGGCGGAUCCAGUUCGGGAGCCGCCGAUUCUUGUUGUAAACACCGUGCUUUCGGUGCUAGCUGUGAAUUAUCCGGCGAAUAAACUAGCAUGUUAUGUUUCAGAUGAUGGAUGCUCACCUCUCACUUACUUCUCUCUCAAGGAAGCUUCUAACUUCGCCAAGAUUUGGGUUCCUUUCUGCAAGAAAUACAACGUUAAAGUUAGAGCUCCUUUUAGAUAUUUCUUGAACUCUCUGGACGCAACAGAGGAUUCAGAAUUCAGCAGGGCCUGGAAAAUGACGAAGGUAAAGUAUUUGAUUGCCUUUUAGGCGUUUGAGUUUGUUUCUACGUACGUUCACAACAAAUUAGUUAUAUCAUGUUUACUUUAAAGUAAAAGACAAGACCUUCCCAUUUUUUAAUCAAACAUUCAAAACUGCAAGCAGAUGGAAAAGAUAACUAAAAUAAAUAUAUAUUGAAUUUGCGCUUAUAAAUUCCUUAAAUGUUGUUAAAAAUAAGGCAUCAAUCUUUAUAGAGAACAGAAGAAAAAGAAAAAUUAAUUAGCUAACAAGAGAAACAUAUAAUGUUGCAAAAAAACCCAGAGAAACGCGUUUUCCAUUUGAGAAAUUGCUCUUAGCUUUCGUGUUAUUAAUAAACUAACAAUUCUGAUGUUCUUUUCCUUUCUAAUUUAUGUAAUGAUAUGAUAUUCAAGAGGGAGUAUGAGAAGUUAAGCCGGAAAGUGGAAGAUGCCACCAGAGAUUGGGACGCUGACGAUGAUUUUGAAGCUUUCUCAAACACAAAACCAAAUGAUCAUUCAACUAUAGUUAAGGUAUUUCAACAAUUUACCAAAGUAGAAAGAAAAAAGAAAUCUCAUACCAUUAUAUUACAAAAGACUUAGUAAUAACAAAUAUUAGCUACCGUCACAUAUAUAAAAUCUGAAGGUGGUAUGGGAGAACAAAGAAGGUGUGGGAGAUGAGAAUGAGGUCCCUCAUUUUGUCUACGUUUCAAGAGAGAAAAGGCCAAACUAUUUACAUCAUUACAAAGCUGGAGCCAUGAACUUUUUGGUAAGUGAUUUUCUCACAUAUCUCUCCUUUUUCAUUUAGUGAACUUUCUGGUACCUAAUUGUGUUAGUCCCGUGCCACCAUUACAAUAUUGGCUGAGAUAUGAGAUCAACCAUUUGACGAUCUAUAAUUUUAAUUUUGCUAUUACAUGCUUGCAAAAUAAAUUAUGAGCUGUGAUAUAUAUACAAAUAUACUAUUUUAAGGGAAGGUAAAGAAAGAAAAUAUGAAAGGUCACAUGAUUGAGUAGUACUUCGGGACUAUUAGAGCAUCUCCAACACAUAACACUAUUUUAGUGUCAAAACCACACUAUUUUAGUGUAGUUUCAACACUAAAAACAAAUUCAUCUCCAACCACAACACUAAAUUUCACACUAAAAGUUAUUUUAUAAUACUAUAAUGUAUUUAACUUUUUAAUUUGUCAUUUUUAAUAAUAUAUUUUACUUAUAAAAUAAGUAAAUAGUGUUUUAGUGAAGUGAAUAGUGUUUUAGAGUGGUGAAUAGUGUUACAUCAAAUUUAGUAUAAAAUUAUAGUGUUACACUAAAUAGUGUGAUUUUUAAUGUUGAGUUGGAGAAGGUUUUGGUGUAAAAUUCACACUAAAAUGGUGUUUUGGAGUUGAGUUGGAGAUAAAAAAAAAUCGUAUCCAGAACAUCCUAGUCAGUAGUCACAAAAAAGAAAGAGAACGAAAUGAUCUUCUUCCCUGUUGCAAUGUAUCGCUUGAUUGAGAUAAAUUGGCCCAACUCUAUAAUAAUGUUCCAUGUGAUAUUCUAACAAUCAUUGCUGACAUUCAAUUUAUUGGAGGUGACAUUUUAAAAUGAUUGUUGAAGUGAAAAGGUAACCAUUUAUUACGUUCAAUUAUUAAUCAUGUAAUAACCAAAUUAAUAGUCAUGGUGACCGUGCCUUUGAAAUUUAUAUUUAAACAUCAUAUCGUAUAUGACAUGCCAUACAAACUACAUUAGAUCAAUAAAAUUUAAACAGAAGUCUAUAUAGUUUAAUUUUUUUGAAGCACCAGUUUGCAACUAUUAAUGAUUGUAGGUCUUAAUUAGUCUUCUUUGCUUGUUAUAAUAAUAAAAUGUGAUGAUCAUAACUCAUCAGAUUAAUUUGAACAGGUCCGAGUGUCAGGGUUGAUGACAAACGCACCAUACAUGUUAAACGUAGACUGUGACAUGUUUGUGAAUGAAGCAGAUGUGGUGCGACAAGCAAUGUGUAUAUUUUUGCAAAAACUAAAGAAUUCAAUAAAUCAUUGUGCUUUUGUUCAAUACCCUCAAGAUUUCUAUGAUUCUAACUGCGAGGAAUUCGUCGUCUUACAAUCAGUGCGGUUUCUCAUCCUUACUUUUAUUUGUUUAUUUAUAGUAUCCAUAUACAAAAUUUAUUAAUCUUUUCAAUCAAUACUUAAUCUUUGGUUUCUACUAUUUUUUGUUUGUUUUGUUGUGGAAAUUAGUAUUUGGGAAGAGGAUUUGCGGGAAUCCAAGGAGUAAUGUACUCAGGGUCGGGAUGUUUCCACACUAGAAGAGUUAUGUACGAUCUCUCAGUAGACGAUUUAGAAGAAGACGGAAGUCUUUCUUCUGUUACUGCAAGUAAGUACUAUUGGCAAAAACCAUAAGAGAUAGUUGGUAUAUUGCAUUAUCAUAUAUUUCGUUAAAACAUAAUUAAAACAAAGUUUCAUGCAUAUAUCACCAAUAUUUUGAUAUUUUUAUUCUAAUCAUACAAUAUUUACGCAAUACUUUUGUUGUUCUACUAGUCUAUUAUAAAUUUAUAUUCAUCCACUUAUUCAUUUAUCAAAUCAAUCAUUUACGGCUCAUGUUUUUUUAUCAAGGGAAAUUUUUGGAUGAUGAAAGUUUGGCGGCAAAGUUGGGGAGUUCUAAGGAGAUUAGGAAAUCGGUGGCCAAUGCAUUGCAAAGAAAAUCAAAUUCUCAAAAUAUUCUUACGAACUUUCUUGACGAGGCCAGAGAAGUGGGGCAUUGUCAAUACGAGUCCCAAACGAGUUGGGGCAAAACCGUAAUACUCUUCUCACUUCAAUCAAAAUAGUCUAUAAAAUAAAACAACAAAUAUUAAUAUAUAUAUAUAUAUAUAUAUAUAUAUCAUGUAGAUCGGUUGGUUAUACGAUUCAACAGCGGAAGAUGUAAACACGAGUAUAGGUAUCCAUUCGAGAGGAUGGACUAGUGCAUAUAUAUAUCUGGAUCAACCCGCAUUUCUAGGAUGUACGCCACCAGGAGGACCAGAGGCGAUGGUUCAGCAACGGCGAUGGGGGACGGGCAUGCUCGAAAUCCUUUUCAACAAACAUAGCCCCUUGAUCGGUAUCUUUAGCCAGAAAUUGAGAUUUCGGCAACGAUUGGCUUAUAUUCACGUCUUCACUUGGGGUUUAAGGUCAAUCCCUGAGCUCGUUUAUUGUCUCUUGCCUUCGUACUGUCUACUCCACAACUCGGCCUUGUUCCCAAAGGUGACUUUCUCUCUCUCACUUUAAUAUAAACUAGAUCUCUUGACCCGUGCGACUGCACGGAUGCAUGUUUUAUAGUACAUACAAACUUUAAAAAGCGAAAAAUUUAACGAUUACAUCUUAACUACUUUUGUUUAUUGGUUAAACUAUGUAUUUCAUCAUUGUGUCAUGUAACAGAAACGUCCGUAAAAUGUUAUGAGCCAUAAAUAUUGUAGUAAGAAUUUUAAGGGGAACGGUAAAAUCGAUAACAUUUCAAAUUAUUUGAUCAGUUGAAUAAUCAAUAUAACAAUGACCGGUUUGAUAGUACAUAAAAAAUUAAGGUCUGUAUGUUAGGUAAUUAUGUCUCUAGUAUUGUAUAUCUGGUUUUUUUUUGAAACAACUAUAUGUGGUUUAUACAUAACUCUAGUGAAUUUAUAUGUUUUGGGUUUGUAUGAAAUAGUAUUCUUAUGAUCAGUUAUGGUUUUAGGUGUGUAUUACUUGGUUUGAUCUCUAAUCUCACGUUUACAUUUUAUAUGUAUGUCAUAUUUCUUGUUUGGUUAGCAUUGGACCAGCACAAAAACAUGUCUAAACAUAUCUCCUAUAUAUAUUAAUUGAGAAUCAUUAAAAAAAUUAUAACCUUAAAUUUGUAUUAAUUAAAAAAUAGUUUUGUUUAGGUGUCAUUUAAUUAGGCUAUCAAUUUGGCUUACGUGACAUCAUUAGAAUCAAUUGAAUAAUUAGUAAGUCCAAAAUCCAAUUGCUAGGAAAACUUAUAUUAACCCAAACAUAAAUGUAUAUAAUAAAUUUAAUAUUCUCUCAUUAACUUCAAUACAAAUAAAAUUGUUUGCGACAUAUAAUUAUGGUCGCCCAAGAAACAUACGGUUUGCCCCAAAAGUAUGCUUAUAUAAUAUUAUCUUUUAUGAUUCACAACAACUUUUUUCAUUUUCGAUUUAAUACAGUGCAAACAAUUUUAUUGUAAUCAUUUGUUGUCGUUUUCAUAACGAACGCAUUCCCACAUAUGAUUCUUCCCACUGAUUUUUUUUAUGAUGAGUUAUUUUUACAAUGAGUAAGGUUCUUCAAGUUUUUCACCAUUAUAUAUACCAAGUUGUCUCAAAUAAUUUCAGAGUAAUGUUUUGUUCAAAUUCAACACAUACCAACGGAUGUUAUAGGUUCUUCAACGGUCAAACUUAUUUUCACGAUAUCAGAGACGAUAUGAUGUGUUACAGGUUUUAGAUUUCAGAGACAAUGUGGUAUAAGUUCUAUAGAGGUCAAUUUUUUUCUCUAAGCAAAUCAUAGAACGACUUAGAAGUGAGUGUGUUUUAUUCAAUAGUAACUUUUCUAAUUUAUUUAUUAAACCAAGUAGUAAACAAUGAAAAUUGUAUAAUAUGGAAGGAGUGGAUCAUUGAUUGUUAUAUAUCCGAGUAUAGAACAAUGAAAUAUAUUUCAAAACAAUACCAGUGGACUCUAUAAUUAAUAUACGGUUUAUACACUGUUGAUUUUGGUUAUGUGGCAUUGAAAUUUCAAUUUAACCGAACCAUAAAUCAAUCAAAUAAUUUCAAAAUAUUAAUUUUAUAACGAAAAACAAAUCUUCGUUAACCGUGUUACCUACUUUUAGAAUUAGUGUGAUUUAGGUAGGUAUAUAUAUUAUAUAUAUUAUGUUUUUAUCUAUUUAUUACUAAUCAUUUUUCUUUUCUUCUUAUGAAUCUAUAAUAACUAUAAAUUAUUUAACAAUCAUUUUUAAUAGUUAAAUAUAAUAGAAAAACAUUCUAUUUAAAAUUAUAGUAGUAUUUAAUAAAAUUGAUUUUUAAUCAUACAAAAUUAAAUUGACAAAAUGUAAUAAAAGAUAAAUAUAGUUUAAGUUUUUUUUGGUAUAAACCAAAAGCCGACAGUAUAUAAACCGAACCAAACCAAAAUAAAUAUGAUUUUAAUAUGGUAUCUAAUUUUUAUAAACCAAUAUAUCGAAAAACCAAACAAUGCCAGACUAAAAUUGAAUAAACCAAAAACUGACAGUAUAUAAAUUGAACCACACCAAAAAAAAAAUAUGAUUUUAAUAUGGUAUCUAAUUUUUAUAAACAAAAAUAUCAAAAAACUGAGUCGAGACCAGACCAAAAUCUGGAUUAAACAACCGUAUUUUGAAUAUAUGAUUUUAUGCAUGUUUCAACCCACGCUUUGCGUGGGUCUUAUCCUAGUUACAAAAUUACAUGUCUAUUCGUGUAUGUUUGUUUUUUAUAUAGACCCAUUCGUAUAGUAUAUGUAGAUUUAGGAAGUUAAUUAUAAAAUAUUAAAUUAAUACAUUGCUAUCAAUGUUGCGAAACAAUUUUUUAUUUUUUCUUUACUAUUAUUCAUGUUUCCAAACAUAUCUAAAUGGUACUUCUACUUUAAUAAGAUAGAUUUCACCCGUUUGUUGUUUAAAGUUUUUGCAGACAAAUUUUUUUUUUUAAUUCUUAUUUGAAAUGGCAUUUAAUAUGAAACUAUGGAAGUAUCAUAAUAUCGUUAUAAAUAUGGUUAUAUUUAUAUCAUAAAUAAUUAGAAAUACCUUGUUCUUCGUGGCUUUAGGGACUUUGUUCAGGCAUAACUGUCACACUUGUGGGGAUGCAUUGCCUUUACACUCUAUGGGGAUUUGUGAGGCUUGGGUUUUUGGUAUAUUCAUGGGAUGCCUCCCAGUCAUUUUGGAGGAUAAAAGCUACUUGUAUUUGGUUAUUUAGUGUCACUGAUAUCAUAUUAAAGCUUCUUGGAGUUUCGAAAACCGUGUUCAUAGUUACAAAAAAGACUUUCACCGAGACAAGGUCAGGGACU